Ficedula albicollis (Collared flycatcher) is the source of this 1966-nucleotide long non-coding RNA. RefSeq lists it as uncharacterized. The record is from RefSeq and is a predicted model, not a curated record. The transcript is spliced from 4 exons. NCBI's taxonomy places the organism in Eukaryota, Metazoa, Chordata, Aves, Passeriformes, Muscicapidae.
CGGCGGGCGGCACGGCGAGGGCUGGGGAAGAGGAGGAGGCGCUCGGGCUCCGCAGCGCGCUAGCUCCGUAUCAAUUAUUUACACGGCUGACUCGUUUUUGAUGAAGUCCAUAGUACUUGCAACCCAUUUUCAAACUAUAAUCCAAUAUCCUGGGAAAUUUAAGCUCUUCCAAGAGUGAACUCCCCAAACACCUAGAAGGCAGAGCGAGGUGACACCCUUCCUCCCUUGUGUCUUGGCAUGACCAGACACGGCACUGAUUUCUACGUUCCAGCCCUUGGUACCAUCUCAGCAUUCAUGUCUGCCUUGCUCUGCCCUGCUGCUUCCUACAACAGUCAGAUCCUGUCUCACCCAACACACAGUCGAGCUCUGGAGUGAGCAUUUUUAAGUACAGGAGUCCAGCUGUGGUCAGUAACUCCAGCAGAGACAGACAGAAAAAAGAAAGUGGUCUGCGUAACAGCUAUCAGUUUGAGAUAUUGGUGCUCAGGGGGAUGAGACUGAAAGAGAAUUGGGCUUUUUCCAGACUUUUGUAAGGUUUAAGUACUGUACUAAUCCCUACCACCUCCAAUAUUUGCUUUGAGUUAUGCAAAGGUGAAAAUAUCUGAGAGCUGGAGGCUGCAUUUUGAGAGCAGGCAGCUCAGAUAAAUCGCUGCAACUGUAAAUAUGAUCCUUAAUGGAGAUAGAUGGGCCAAGAGGUCAUGCAAGGAGUUGAUUAAAAAAACCCAGAGAAAUCUUUUUUGAUCUGUUCCCUUCCCUGGUGAUCUUGCUCAUGCCCUUGUAUGUACUGAUGGCACCAGCAGCAAGAAUGUGUGUCCUGCUGUUGCCAAACAAACAGAUGCUAGCCAUGUCCCUUACUCUGGGAAAGUGGGACUUUGAGCUGGAAGAUCAAAUGCCAACCAUUAUUUCAUUACAGCAAUUACUCUGGGAUGCGUAUUUCUCCGCAGAUAAGAGACCAGUCCACAACUUCACUGACUUCAGCAAUCUUAAAUGCAGUCCUGGAGUGAGGCAGUAGCUCAAACUUACAAAUUUCUGGUCCCUGAAAAGUUCUGAAAUAUCUUAAAAUCACUCCAAAAUCAAGUUUCCAGUCUUUUUACAGGCUGAGCGUUGCUUUUCCUCUGCCACUUCUUACAUGCUGUCUCUGUACUUGGAAGACGACAGAAGAAAAGCAACAACAGGGAAAAAAAAUUGUUGUGCAGAGAUGAACCUCAGCAAUGUAAUCUUUAUGUGUCAGUGAAAACUUACCCUUCUCUUUUGUUACUUGGAUAAUAAACCUUUCAGAAGGCUUACGCUACCUGGCAACCACCAACGAAACAAGAGUUUCUGCUGGCUCUGGUCAAUGCUCUGCUUUGUGCCAGUCUGCAGAGCAGUAUGAGCCCAGCAUCCUAAUCUGGUUUAGGUGAGGUUCUCCAUCACCCCCUCCUUUCCCUUGCCUUAUUAAAUCCUACAUCAGGCAUAGCUCUUGUGAGCCAAGCCUCACUGUGCAAAACUCAGGCAGGCUAUCAAGCUUGUCGUGCAUGUAAUUUCUCACCUGUGCUGGAUCCUGAAUACUGCAUGAGCCUUCCUCUGUUUUCAGGUGGAGUUUAGCCUGUGAGUGCUGCACAGUAAACUGAGAAGCUACCAAGGAGCAGUGUUGCUUUCACAUUUCUCUUUCAUCCCAUGGUUAAUAAACAUUAAACUUGCUGACACUAUAAAACAGCGUCCAGGGGAUGGCUGAUACACUGGAAGCAUUUGUCUAAGCACAAAUUUAUACUCACAUGUCCUGCUCUCCAAAUGCAUGUCUAUAUGCAAAAGUCUGGAAGUACAGUUAUCCACUAGAUCUUAAUGAAACUAAAGGUUAAUAAUGCUGUGAUGUCAAAUGUCUUCAGGAUUCUGCAUCUUAUAUAUUUGGCCAUAGCUUGACUGUGAUUUCCUUAUGUGUUGCAGUAUUGCCAAGUUACAGAAAUAAAAGCCUGGGGAAAAAAAUACUAUG